UUUAUUGGAGAGUUUGAUCCUGGCUCAGGAUGAACGCUGGCGGCGUGCCUAAUACAUGCAAGUCGAGCGAAUGGAUUAAGAGCUUGCUCUUAUGAAGUUAGCGGCGGACGGGUGAGUAACACGUGGGUAACCUGCCCAUAAGACUGGGAUAACUCCGGGAAACCGGGGCUAAUACCGGAUAACAUUUUGAACCGCAUGGUUCGAAAUUGAAAGGCGGCUUCGGCUGUCACUUAUGGAUGGACCCGCGUCGCAUUAGCUAGUUGGUGAGGUAACGGCUCACCAAGGCAACGAUGCGUAGCCGACCUGAGAGGGUGAUCGGCCACACUGGGACUGAGACACGGCCCAGACUCCUACGGGAGGCAGCAGUAGGGAAUCUUCCGCAAUGGACGAAAGUCUGACGGAGCAACGCCGCGUGAGUGAUGAAGGCUUUCGGGUCGUAAAACUCUGUUGUUAGGGAAGAACAAGUGCUAGUUGAAUAAGCUGGCACCUUGACGGUACCUAACCAGAAAGCCACGGCUAACUACGUGCCAGCAGCCGCGGUAAUACGUAGG
Molecule: ribosomal RNA, 551 nt
Filed under: Bacillus paranthracis
Lineage: Bacteria; Bacillati; Bacillota; Bacilli; Caryophanales; Bacillaceae
Description: bacterial SSU rRNA
Rfam family: Bacterial small subunit ribosomal RNA
Source: RNAcentral